This 497-nucleotide ribosomal RNA is filed under the name uncultured bacterium. RNAcentral describes it as "partial 16S ribosomal RNA". It matches the Rfam family "Bacterial small subunit ribosomal RNA", at positions 28 to 507 of the family's 1533-position model. The record is from RNAcentral.
GAUGAACGCUGGCGGCGUGCCUAAUACAUGCAAGUCGAGCGAACGGACGAGAAGCUUGCUUCUCUGAUGUUAGCGGCGGACGGGUGAGUAACACGUGGAUAACCUACCUAUAAGACUGGGAAAACUUCGGGAAACGGGAGCUAAUACCGGAUAAUAUCUUGAACCGCAUGGUUCAAAAGUGAAAGACGGCCUUGCUGUCACUAAUAGAUGCAUCCCCGCUGCAUGAGCUAGUUGGGACGGUAACGGCCUACCAAGGCAAGGAUGCAUAGCCGACCUGGGAGGGGGAUCGGCCACACUGGAACUGGGACACGGUCCAGACUCCUACGGGAGGCAGCAGUAGGGAAUCUUCCGCAGUGGGGGAAAGCCUGACGGAGCAAGGCCGCGUGAGAGAUAAAGGUCUUCGGUUCGUAAAACUCUGUUGUUGGGGAGAAACAUAUGUGGAAGUAACUGUGCACAUCUUGACGGUACCUAAUCAGAAAGCCACGGCUAACUACGUG